UUGUGGUUUUCUUCAUCCAGAUGAAAAUUCUCAGGUUGGUUUUAGCAGCUCCUGCUGUCCAGCAUGAGAUCUUCCUGACCAGUAGAAGUGAAUUGCUGAUGGAAGUCGCCAAAUGGCAGUUUCCAUAUCAGCACGAAUGCGGAAUGUUGGGAGAUGGCUGGUGUGAAUAUGACCUGGAAUUUCAACUUCGAACUGGGGAGUGGAAGUCAGUUAAAUUGUUGCCUUACUCAUCCACUUUGGAAGAAAGUGUCCACAAAGACGACAUCAUCAUUACCAGGGGAAGGCUGGAGCUGCAGUCAGGCCAACUGACCCAGAAGAUGUCGGAGGCAGCACAGAACCUGCUGAGUGCCAAGACAGGCUUUUUAAAAAGAUCAAACUCAAUGUGGUGGGGCUUCAGUCCAGUUAUAAUUUUAAAAAGUACAAUCCCUCAACUCAGGCACAUUCCCAAUGAGCCAGUAACGACAAUUCAUGCCUCGUGUCAGGCUAUGCCUCUCCACCAAUGUUCCUACACUACAUUAUGGCACUUCAUCUCCUUGCCCCACUGUACUCUGCAUGAAAUUAACAAGGCCCAUAAUGACUGCAGUAGUUUUUCUUUUUAAAAAGGUCAUUCAUAACUGCAGAGUGCUGAAAACAUCCCUGUAUUGCCCUGAAAUACAGAUGAUUUGCCAUGAACCAGGGUUCUUUAAAAACGUAGCCCAACUCCAUGAAAACCAUGGAAAAGUAGACCAUGCCUACAUCAACAAUUGAACUGGCUAGGGCAGCAGCACUAGGUGUGAGCUCACAACACAAACUAACUCACAUCCUGAAAAGGCACUCCUGACAGUUGGAGAGUCCAGGAAUGGGGUCUGCAAUCCCAGAAUCAGGGCUCACCCACUAAUUUAAAAGGAGUCCUGAGUUAUUCUGAGUUGGGAAAAAUGCAGUAUUACAGAGUUUGGACAUUAUACCUGCAAAACCAUUCAUUGACCAGUGUUUGAAUGCAGAGUUAAUUCAGUUCCUUCUGUGAAUUUCAGCUAACUCAAGAGCAAGCAAAUUACAUACUAUAAUCAAUAAUAACAUGCAAUGUUGAUAUCCCUUCAGAAUAUGAAGUGGGCUGUGCAUGCUUCACAUUUAAUUUGCUCUGACACCUGAAGACAUGAUAUACUCAGCCAUCUAAUUAAUUCCCUUUCAACUCUUGGAAUAUCUCAGUUAUAUGAAGGACUUGUUUCACAACUCAGAAAGAAUGGAAUUUCAGGACACAAUACAAAGAAAAACUUCCAUUGUUUCAUUUAUCCUUCCUUACUUAAAUGGCAAACGUAAGUUAACUGAAGUAAUCUAGUUUCAAAGUCGUCUUUGGGCUUGAAACAUUAACACUUUCUCUCUUCUGUUGCAAGACCUGCUGAGCUGCCUCCAACAUUUUUUCUGUUUUUAUUUCAGAUUUCCAGCAUCUGCAGUAAUUUGCCUUUAUCAGAAUGUUUAAUUCACUGCCACUUCUCUACCAGUUAAGUCCACAAUAAAGUACUGCAUUUCUCCACUGGGAGUUCCAUUUUAUUCUUUUGGCCUGUAACCCUUCAUUGCUUUCUAUCUCCCAUCUAGUUUUUGAAAAAAAAUGUCUGCCAAAACUCAUUUUUGCAAUCACAUCUCCAUCCUCAGUGACUGUGUUCAGUUCUGCCUUACUCCACACAGAUUCCUACUGAAGUUUCAUCCUACACAUUGUGAAUCCAUCUAGGAAUACUGGUACCUCUCAGACAUAAUGCUCAGAGACCUCUCUGCCCAUCAGCACUGCAUCAUGCUAUCUCAAAGCUGUCCUGGUCACCAGUGCUGUUUCAUUCUUCACCUCAUUCAAUACCUGAACAUUUUCUCUACCUUUCACAUUUUAAGGAACACAAUCUCCAAAAGCACCAGUAUAGUCACCUUUCUGGAUUCUUCCUCCACUUCUUUCAUUCCAUCCUUUUCUUUCUACUAAUCCCAUCUCUUGUCAUGUAUUCACUCAGUUCUGAAGAAGAGACUUUACCUCCACUGAUACUGCUGGACCUGCUGUGUUUCUCUAGUAUUUUCUGUUUGUAUUGUAAGUUAACUGAAAGUUUGUUCACAAGAAAAUAGGUGGACUACAAGUGGAGGAGGCGAGGAAUACAACAGUUAUUGUUUAUGGAAUGCUAUAUUUGGACAUAGUUUGGUCCCAAUUUACACUGCCCUGAAUCCACAAAGUUCAGACUUAUGUCUGUUUUAGCACAAACACUGAUUUAGAUAUAAGCCAAGGGGUAGCUCAGUGGCCUAGUGGAUUAUAGUACCAUAUGGUGAACCAUGCGGAAUAAAAAGGUUCCAGCUACUGAAUUAACCAAACUCAGGCAAGGUAAUGACAAAAUAUACAAAAAACGCCCCAUUGUCACAGGAUAGAGAUGGGAAUAGGGUCGGAAAAAAAGUCAAGAUUCAUUCAUAAUUAAUUAGACACAUGCAUGCAAGGUUAUAAAGUGUGAAGCUGGAUGAACACAGCAGGCCAAGCAGCAUCUCAGGAGCACAAAAGCUCAGUUUCGGGCCUAGACCCUUCAGGAUUAUUAUACAAAACCUUAUGCAGAAAAAGCUCACGCGUUUUGUCUGUAAUCUUUUUCAACAAUUCCUGAAGAGUUUAAAUACAACUGAAUUAUGGCAUUCAGAAGCCAAAAUCUUUGCCUAUCAGUGAAGAGGUUGUAACUUAUUCCACACUAUUUAAAGUUGGUUAAAAAAAUACCAAAGGAAGUAAAUUCUAUCAGUCAUUUUAUUGUUGCUGUGGAUGUUAGCGUGAAAUCCAAGUAUAAAACACACAUGGAAUUCUCAGGAAGCACUUCAGCCAUCAACUGAGGUAGCACAAUUUACUUUUAUCAAAAAAGUUGCUGCAAAUAUUAAGAACAAAAACAGAACUUACAGGAAAAGCACAACAGGUCUGGCAGCAUUUAUGGAAAGUAAGUAGAGUUAACAUUUCAGGUCCAGUGAGCCUUCCUCAGAAUAGUCUUCUGAGCUUUUACAGCAAUUUUUGUUUCUAAUUUACUGCAUCUGCAGAUCUUCUGGUUUUUACUGCCACAAAUAUUGUUACUCCUCCUCCAUUGACUUUUCAAGAGUAAGCAGCUUAGAACAAUGUGCUAUGCUGAUAAUUCUUUUCGAUCUCCUCCUUCACAAUAAGCCAUACAAUCAUGCAACAUUGGCAAGGAUGUCAAAGAUCACCAAAAGUUUGCAUCUGGGGGACAGGAAAAUUAAACAUCGCCAAAUGCAAAGUAAAGGCACCUGUGCUAUCUAAAUCAUGUAGUGGAACAAAGCAGAAUAAUUUUCAAGCAAGCACUUCUCAGAAAAUAUAGAACCUCAAAUUUUGCCAAAACUUUUGUGAGCCAGCAUCCAAAAAUAAUAAAAACCUCUCAGAUUUGG
Molecule: long non-coding RNA, 3372 nt
Organism: Stegostoma tigrinum
Lineage: Eukaryota; Metazoa; Chordata; Chondrichthyes; Orectolobiformes; Stegostomatidae
Exons: 2
Source: RefSeq, a predicted model, not a curated record